GGCCCACUGAAAAGGUAGGUCUCUGUGGGCAUAACUUUUGACUACCGCCCAAUGUCUACAGUCCAAAAGAAUUAUGAAGAUAAAGUCAGCACAUCCAGCUGAGGUGUUCUCAGGCCUACUCACAGAGUCGGGUCAGGUCUUGAAGACAUUCAGCUGGAAGAUGUGUAAGGGAGGAAUGGUGAUGCCAGGGAGGCUGAAGACAGUUGUAACCAAGAAAUGAGGACACUGCCCAGUGAACACACCCUCCAACUUGCUGAACAGAUUAUUAUUGUCUUCUGAGUAAUAAAUAUUGAAAUAAACCAGAUACCAGUGUUGGUAGCCUAAAACA
Long non-coding RNA from Ornithorhynchus anatinus (platypus), 328 nucleotides. RefSeq lists it as uncharacterized. The transcript is spliced from 2 exons. Lineage: Eukaryota; Metazoa; Chordata; Mammalia; Monotremata; Ornithorhynchidae. The record is from RefSeq and is a predicted model, not a curated record.